UACAGAGGUCUCGAGCGUUGUUCGGAUUCAUUGGGCGUAAAGGGCGCGUAGGCUGCGGGGCAAGUCGGGUGUGAAAUCUCAGAGCUCAACUCUGAAACUGCACUCGAUACUGCUUUGCUUGAGGACUGGAGAGGAGAUUGGAAUUCACGGUGUAGCAGUGAAAUGCGUAGAUAUCGUGAGGAAGACCAGUGGCGAAGGCGGAUCUCUGGACAGUUCGUGACACUGAGACACGAAGGCCAGGGGAGCAAACGGG
RNAcentral lists this ribosomal RNA (253 nucleotides) under uncultured bacterium. Its description in RNAcentral is "partial 16S ribosomal RNA". It matches the Rfam family "Bacterial small subunit ribosomal RNA", at positions 524 to 776 of the family's 1533-position model. The record is from RNAcentral.